This is a long non-coding RNA of Octodon degus (degu), 344 nucleotides long. RefSeq lists it as uncharacterized. NCBI's taxonomy places the organism in Eukaryota, Metazoa, Chordata, Mammalia, Rodentia, Octodontidae. The transcript is spliced from 3 exons. The record is from RefSeq and is a predicted model, not a curated record.
UGGUACAUACACUACCUCUUCUUUAAGUACAAAGUCUACAACCACAUCAGAUCCUCCAAAUAUUUGUAAAGUGAAACCCCAGCAGUUACAGACAAGCAGCCUGCCUUCUGCAAGUCAUUUUUCACAGUUGAGCUGUAUGCCUUCCCUUAUUGCCCAGCAGCAACAGAGUCCACAAGUUUAUGUGUCUCAGUCUGCAGCAGCUCAAAUCCCAGCGUUCUACAUGGACACAAGUCAUUUAUUUAAUACCCAGCAUGCACGAUUGGCUCCACCGUCCUUGGCUCAGCAGCAAGGCUUCCAACCUGGUCUCUCUCAGCCAGCUUCCGUGCAGCAGAUCCCAAUCCCUA